AUUGAACGCUGGCGGCAUGCCUUACACAUGCAAGUCGAACGGUAACAGGGAGCUUGCUCCGCUGACGGGUGGCGAACGGGUGAGUAAUGUAUCGGAACGUACCAUAGAGUGGGGGAUAACUAUCCGAAAGGAUAGCUAAUACCGCAUAUUCUCUCCGGAGGAAAGCAGGGGACCGCAAGGCCUUGCGCUCUUUGAGCGGCCGAUAUCAGAUUAGCUAGUUGGUGAGGUAAAGGCUCACCAAGGCGACGAUCUGUAGCGGGUCUGAGAGGAUGAUCCGCCACACUGGAACUGAGACACGGUCCAGACUCCUACGGGAGGCAGCAGUGGGGAAUUUUGGACAAUGGGGGCAACCCUGAUCCAGCCAUGCCGCGUGAGUGAAGAAGGCCUUCGGGUUGUAAAGCUCUUUCGGCCGGGAAGAAAUCGCACAGGCCAAUACCCUGUGUGGAUGACGGUACCGGAAUAAGAAGCACCGGCUAACUACGUG
RNAcentral lists this ribosomal RNA (484 nucleotides) under uncultured bacterium. RNAcentral describes it as "bacterial SSU rRNA". It matches the Rfam family "Bacterial small subunit ribosomal RNA", at positions 30 to 507 of the family's 1533-position model. The record is from RNAcentral.